RNAcentral lists this non-coding RNA (22 nucleotides) under Rattus norvegicus (Norway rat). The record is from RNAcentral. Lineage: Eukaryota; Metazoa; Chordata; Mammalia; Rodentia; Muridae.
AUGAAUUUCAACAGAGAUGGCA